CUAAAGUUUGAAUCUGGCUUAAGCUCUAUUAUAAAUUAAAUCUAUAUAUAAUUAAGAAGUUUUGAAAAGAUAUGUCCUUUAGUAGAUAAUUUUAGGAAACAUGCAAUAUGGGCCUAGUUAAAUUUAUAAGAUUGACUAAAAUCGUGCCAGCCGUCGCGGUUAGACGAAGAAUCUGAAUGGAGCUAUAGAUUGGUUUAACUAACAGUAAAUAUUUAACAGUUAUAUUUUAUUCUUUUUUUGGGUGAAAUUUUUAUAAAGAUAACAAAUCUCUUAAUAAUAUUUAAUGGAAUUAAAAAACGAGGGUUAAAAACCAGGAUUAGAUACCCUGUUAUUCCUUGCAACUCAAUGAUAGGGUAGUAAAAGUUUAUUCUUCAAACCCAAAGAUUUUGGCGGCAUUUUAACCAAACAGAGGAGCUUGUCUUGUAAUCGAUAACCCCCGCUGUACCUUACCUUUCCUAGUCCAGUUUGUAUACCUCCGUUGUCAGAUUACUCCCUUAAGGAUGUUUUCUACAAAAAUUAUUUUUUUACUUCAGGUCAAGGUGCAGCUCAUGUGAAGGUAACGAUGAGCUACAAUUCUCUUAAGAAUCACGGAAGAUUGAUUUAAAAUUCAACUGAAGGUGGAUUUGUUAGUAAGUCAGCUUAAGGAAAGCUGACUGAAUAAGGCAAUAGAAUGUGUACAUAUCGCCCGUCACUCUCCUUCUAAAAGGAGAUAAGUCGUAACAAAGUAGAUGUACUGGAAAGUGUAUCUAGAAUGUG
This 756-nucleotide non-coding RNA is filed under the name Daphnia tibetana. Lineage: Eukaryota; Metazoa; Arthropoda; Branchiopoda; Diplostraca; Daphniidae. The record is from RNAcentral.